AUUGAACGCUGGCGGAAUGCUUUACACAUGCAAGUCGAGCGGCAGCGGCGGGGGCAACCCUGGCGGCGAGCGGCGAACGGGUGAGUAACAUAUCGGAACGUACCCUGUCGUGGGGGAUAACUAUCCGAAAGGAUAGCUAAUACCGCAUACGACCUGAGGGUGAAAGCGGGGGACCGCAAGGCCUCGCGCGAUAGGAGCGGCCGAUAUCGGAUUAGCUAGUUGGUGAGGUAAAGGCUCACCAAGGCGACGGUCCGUAGCGGGUCUGAGAGGACGACCCGCCACACUGGAACUGAGACACGGUCCAGACUCCUACGGGAGGCAGCAGUGGGGAAUUUUGGACAAUGGGGGCAACCCUGAUCCAGCCAUUCCGCGUGAGUGAAGAAGGCCUUCGGGUUGUAAAGCUCUUUCAGCAGGAACGAAACGGUGAGGGUUAAUACCCUUUACUAAUGACGGUACCUGAAGAAGAAGCACCGGCUAACUACGUGCCAGCAGCCGCGGUAAAGUGUGACUG
This 511-nucleotide ribosomal RNA is filed under the name uncultured bacterium. RNAcentral describes it as "bacterial SSU rRNA". It matches the Rfam family "Bacterial small subunit ribosomal RNA", at positions 29 to 532 of the family's 1533-position model. The record is from RNAcentral.